CGUUUACUUAACACCAUAGCAGCCAUUUUCCCCUGUUGCCAUGGGAACAUUAUGAAGUGACGUAAUUACACAACAAGACCAACA
Molecule: long non-coding RNA, 84 nt
Organism: Etheostoma spectabile (orangethroat darter)
Lineage: Eukaryota; Metazoa; Chordata; Actinopteri; Perciformes; Percidae
Exons: 3
Source: RefSeq, a predicted model, not a curated record